GACGAACGCUGGCGGCGUGCCUAAUACAUGCAAGUUGAGCGAUGAAGAUUGGUGCUUGCACCAAUUUGAAGAGCAGCGAACGGGUGAGUAACGCGUGGGGAAUCUGCCUUUGAGCGGGGGACAACAUUUGGAAGCGAAUGCUAAUACCGCAUAACAACUUUAAACAUAAGUUUUAAGUUUGAAAGAUGCAAUUGCAUCACUCAAAGAUGAUCCCGCGUUGUAUUAGCUAGUUGGUGAGGUAAAGGCUCACCAAGGCGAUGAUACAUAGCCGACCUGAGAGGGUGAUCGGCCACAUUGGGACUGAGACACGGCCCAAACUCCUACGGGAGGCAGCAGUAGGGAAUCUUCGGCAAUGGACGAAGGUCUGACCGAGCAACGCCGCGUGAGUGAAGAAGGUUUUCGGAUCGUAAAACUCUGUUGGUAGAGAAGAACGUUGGUGAGAGUGGAAAGCUCAUCAAGUGACGGUAACUACCCAGAAAGGGACGGCUAACUACGUG
This 497-nucleotide ribosomal RNA is filed under the name uncultured bacterium. RNAcentral's name for it is "partial 16S ribosomal RNA". It matches the Rfam family "Bacterial small subunit ribosomal RNA", at positions 28 to 507 of the family's 1533-position model. The record is from RNAcentral.